AGCGAAGCGCAGGCUGAAGACAGUUUGGCUCAUCGGCCUGCCCCUCACCUCUGUGCACGCCAGGGGCCGACACCUGCUAGAACUCAGCUCUGCACGCCCAGCUCUCCAUUGCCUGGCAGCCAGGAGCAAAGGGGAAUUACAGGCAGGCUGGACUUGAAACACAGCUAUGGCCCCACCUGCAUUUCAGGUGCCCCGGGGAGUCCUUUCAACCACCUGGAAUUGAGGCUGUUUCAAGGAGGAGUUCCGCUAAUCCUGAGGAGAAUUCCAAGAUCCAAAGUUGAAAGCACAUCAAGAGUAAAAGUCAAGGGUGUUGAAAUCACAUCCUAACAUGAGUCACAUAGAAAUCUGAGUGCAAAGUGUCAUGACCAUCAGUAGACCUGACUUACCUGAACUCAAGCCAAAAAGUGUCAAGCGCCAUCUCGUUACUCCAGGCAGCCAGGUCUGUGUGUGAUUCCUACACCUCUGCCUCGGGGCUCUGGGAGCUCCUGAAAUUUCUCAUGUCAACACUGCUGGGCUGGAUGCUGGCCUUGCUUGUUAAACCAAGAGUUGCUUGAAGCUUUUAGCUUUUUUUAGAUGAUAAAAAUAUACAGUAUGGGAGUUCCUGUCGUGGUGCAGCAGAAACGAACCCGACUAGGAGCCAUGAGGUUACGGAUUUGAUCCCUGGCUGUGCUCAGUGGGUUAAGGAUCCGGUGUUGAUGUGAGCUGUGGUGUAGGUCGCAGAUGCGGCUCGGAUUCCGCGUUGCUGUGGCUCUGGCAUAGGCUGGAGGCUACUGCUCCAAUUAGACCCCUAGCCUGGGAACUUCCAUAUGGCGUGGGUGCGGCCCUAAAAGGACAAAAAAAAAAAAAAAGGAGUAUGAAAAUGACUAGAUUCAUUACCGGCAUAAAUCUAUGUAACCUGAAGUGGUGAAUUCUUAAAAGUAGAUGCUUAGACUCAGGCAGAGAGAUACUAUGGACUUGAUUUUAUGAAUCUAGGAAUCCUUUUUCCAGAAAAUGACUGAAAUUUUAAGAAAAGAGUGGUAGGGGUAUCAGAUUCACACACAGGCAAUGGGGGUCAGGUAUACCAAUUUUAGAAGGCUUUUGGAGGACUUUUUUACCUUCAGAUGAAUGGGAAUGCAAAGUAUUAUGCAAAUCAGAUUUAAACUUCUGAGUUAUUUGCCUCAAUAAAAAGUUAAAGGCAGGAAAGGAAGACUACCUC
Molecule: long non-coding RNA, 1195 nt
Filed under: Sus scrofa (pig)
Lineage: Eukaryota; Metazoa; Chordata; Mammalia; Artiodactyla; Suidae
Description: lncRNA (ENSSSCG00050066636.1)
Source: RNAcentral